Molecule: ribosomal RNA, 253 nt
Filed under: uncultured bacterium
Lineage: Bacteria
Description: partial 16S ribosomal RNA
Rfam family: Bacterial small subunit ribosomal RNA
Source: RNAcentral
UACGUAGGGUGCGAGCGUUAAUCGGAAUUACUGGGCGUAAAGCGUGCGCAGGCGGUUCGCUAAGACAGAUGUGAAAGCCCCGGGCUUAACCUGGGAAUUGCGUUUGUGACUGGCGGGCUAGAGUGCGGCAGAGGGAGGUGGAAUUCCACGUGUAGCAGUGAAAUGCGUAGAGAUGUGGAGGAACACCGAUGGCGAAGGCAGCCUCCUGGGCCAGCACUGACGCUCAUGCACGAAAGCGUGGGGAGCAAACAGG